GGAUCCUCGUGGUCUGCUUUUUUUACCUUUAGCCCUUGUGUGACGUAGUGCUGGAACCUUAGUGAAUUGAUUAGGCGACUCUAAACAAGUAUAAUCCUCGAGGAUUGCCCUCGAGCACUAGCCGCCCUUUGUGGUUGGCGACAUUAUCAUCUUGCGGGAACAUUCGACCUAGCUGGGAAUUAGGCGGCAUAACCCGCAGCCACACCCCGUGACUCACAGGCUAAACGGUAAUGGGCGUUGCUGUCAGGCCUCCCUGCUUCCCCCUCCUCCGCCCCC
This 276-nucleotide ribosomal RNA is filed under the name Parmotrema reticulatum. RNAcentral's name for it is "partial 18S ribosomal RNA". Lineage: Eukaryota; Fungi; Ascomycota; Lecanoromycetes; Lecanorales; Parmeliaceae. The record is from RNAcentral.